GCCUCGGGCAGCGCCCCGAGUAGCAGCGCCCCGCAGGGACUGCAGACUCAGGACUGGCACUGAACACGUAACCUAAGAAGGACAGCAUGCCUGGACCUCGCGUGGGGUUGCAGGGGCCAGAGCCAGAGGGCUCAGUCCCAGCAGGAGGACAGGCCCAGCGAAGGCGCAACGCCGCCGAGGCAGCUGCCCAUGGACCCGCACCUGAGGGAACGAGUGAGCAUGAACUUUGUGCCCGGAAGAUCAUCUCAUAUGAGGAAUGACAGCGCUUCUUGAAUAAUGUGCCUGGUCACUGGGACUUCUCACGGUGCACUCAGAGCUGGCGGU
This is a long non-coding RNA of Tupaia belangeri chinensis (Chinese tree shrew), 324 nucleotides long. RefSeq lists it as uncharacterized. Lineage: Eukaryota; Metazoa; Chordata; Mammalia; Scandentia; Tupaiidae. The transcript has 3 exons. The record is from RefSeq and is a predicted model, not a curated record.